CAGGCCUAACACAUGCAAGUCGAGCGGCAGCGGGAAAGUAGCUUGCUACUUUUGCCGGCGAGCGGCGGACGGGUGAGUAAUGCCUGGGGAUCUGCCCAGUCGAGGGGGAUAACAGUUGGAAACGGCUGCUAAUACCGCAUACGCCCUACGGGGGAAAGCAGGGGACCUUCGGGCCUUGCGCGAUUGGAUGAACCCAGGUGGGAUUAGCUAGUUGGUGGGGUAAUGGCUCACCAAGGCGACGAUCCCUAGCUGGUCUGAGAGGAUGAUCAGCCACACUGGAACUGAGACACGGUCCAGACUCCUACGGGAGGCAGCAGUGGGGAAUAUUGCACAAUGGGGGAAACCCUGAUGCAGCCAUGCCGCGUGUGUGAAGAAGGCCUUCGGGUUGUAAAGCACUUUCAGCGAGGAGGAAAG
This 414-nucleotide ribosomal RNA is filed under the name Aeromonas sp. Lgg5.9. RNAcentral describes it as "bacterial SSU rRNA". It matches the Rfam family "Bacterial small subunit ribosomal RNA", at positions 43 to 451 of the family's 1533-position model. Lineage: Bacteria; Pseudomonadati; Pseudomonadota; Gammaproteobacteria; Aeromonadales; Aeromonadaceae. The record is from RNAcentral.